Molecule: ribosomal RNA, 301 nt
Filed under: uncultured bacterium
Lineage: Bacteria
Description: partial 16S ribosomal RNA
Rfam family: Bacterial small subunit ribosomal RNA
Source: RNAcentral
CAGUAGCCACGGUAACACGAAGGGGGCUAGCGUUGCUCGGAAUGACUGGGCGUAAAGGGCGCGUAGGCGGAUCACGCAGUCAGAUGUGAAAUUCCUGGGCUUAACCUGGGGGCUGCAUUUGAGACGCGUGGUCUAGAGUGUGAAAGAGGGUCGUGGAAUUCCCAGUGUAGAGGUGAAAUUCGUAGAUAUUGGGAAGAACACCGGUGGCGAAGGCGGCGACCUGGUUCAUAACUGACGCUGAGGCGCGAAAGCGUGGGGAGCAAACAGGAUUAGAUACCCCGGUAGUCCCUGUCUCUUAUAA